This 479-nucleotide ribosomal RNA is filed under the name uncultured bacterium. RNAcentral's name for it is "SSU rRNA". It matches the Rfam family "Bacterial small subunit ribosomal RNA", at positions 26 to 523 of the family's 1533-position model. The record is from RNAcentral.
AGGACGAACGCUGGCGGCGUGCUUAACACAUGCAAGUCGAGCGGAAAGGCCCUUCGGGGUACUCGAGCGGCGAACGGGUGAGUAACAUGUGAGUAAUCUGCCCCUAGCUCUGGGAUAGCUCCGGGAAACCGGGAUUAAUACCAGAUACGACCACUUUAGACAUCUGCUGUGGUGGAAAGAAUUUCGGCUAGGGAUGAGCUCGCGGCCUAUCAGCUUGUUGGUGAGGUAACGGCUCACCAAGGCGACGACGGGUAGCCGGCCUGAGAGGGCGACCGGCCACACUGGGACUGAGACACGGCCCAGACUCCUACGGGAGGCAGCAGUGGGGAAUAUUGCGCAAUGGGCGAAAGCCUGACGCAGCGACGCCGCGUGGGGGAUGAAGGCCUUCGGGUUGUAAACCCCUUUCAGCAGGGACGAAGCGAAAGUGACGGUACCUGCAGAAGAAGCGCCGGCUAACUACGUGCCAGCAGCCGCGGUAA